AAAAAAGACAAACAUUGGUUUCCGUGCCCAACGAUUGACCGUCCGUCUUAUUUGAAAAAAUUAUGAAUAAAAUUAAAAAGACAAGUCACGUAUAAAAUAUUAAUCAUGUUUUAUUAUCUAACAACAAUGAAAAUACGAAUUAUAAAAAAAAUUCAUAUAAGACGGAUAGUUAAAGGUGGACACGGAAACCCAGAGUUUGUCUUUUU
RNAcentral lists this microRNA precursor (206 nucleotides) under Oryza rufipogon (brownbeard rice). Its description in RNAcentral is "MIR812 microRNA precursor family". It matches the Rfam family "MIR812 microRNA precursor family". Lineage: Eukaryota; Viridiplantae; Streptophyta; Magnoliopsida; Poales; Poaceae. The record is from Rfam by way of RNAcentral.